GGAUUGACCCCUUCAGUUCCAAGUGUGGCAAUAGCCUAAGAGGAGAACCUGGAUGUCUUUCUCUCCAGUAACACCAUUUAAUGCAGCUGGAAAGAGCUCAUUUUCUGUUUGGACUUGGAACAGGUCCAGAUGCUGUGGAAUUCUGAUGCAUCUGGGAUUCCCCACUGAGGUCUUAUUCCUAUCUACUCCCCACUAAAGCAUCUGGAAGAUUAAGCAGGAAGAAGCCAGAUCUGUGUCAGGGUGGCGGCAAUAAGGAGGUAUUUUAAUGUUAGCUCCAGCAGCAACAGCUUGCCAGUGGGAUCCUCCAGGGAGAAGCUGAAGUCUAUCGAAAGUCUGGAUAAAGGCCUAAAAGAGAGGCAGGCCAAGAAGUAUGACCAGUUUCUGUAAUAAAGUAACUCAGCACAUGUGGAAGGUCGGAGCUUAUGGCUGAUUCAUAACUAAUAAAAUUCAAAAAUCUGUAUGAAAGAGAUUUCUGAUAUAGUUUUUCUAUAAAAUAUGUAGCAUAUAUAAAAUUCAUGAUGGAGUAUUGACCCUUGUGAAUAAUGCUGCCAUUCCAAACCCAGGCUAAUAAAAUGUUUAUACCACACCAUCAUGUAUUUCAAGUGUGCUACACACACACACACACACCCAUACAUAUAUUGGUUAAUAGUCCUGAACUGUUAUAAUUGAUAACCUCCCAAGUACUUUUUUUUUUUUAUGUUUGCUUUGUGGCACAUGAUUUUCUGGAGUGAUUCCAGGUCACAUGGUAAAACCACUAUUUCUCUUGCUAGGCAUUUUGCUUUUUCUUCCUUGCUGACUUCUAAUCUUUGCCUGCUUCACCUGUGGUCAGAUUAGAUGCAAGAGACUGAGACUAAGAUUUUAAUUUACAGUAACAGCAUGACUGGCAGAUGGGUCUGGUGGAGGGCUAACAGGUGUGUGGAUGCCUCUUGUUUUUGAAAACUAACCAUUACAUUUUGUCAGUGGAACACUGUCACAUCCCAGGGAUGUUAUU
Long non-coding RNA from Mauremys reevesii (Reeves's turtle), 991 nucleotides. RefSeq lists it as uncharacterized. The transcript has 3 exons. The record is from RefSeq and is a predicted model, not a curated record. NCBI's taxonomy places the organism in Eukaryota, Metazoa, Chordata, Testudines, Geoemydidae.